UUAAAAGUUCCAUAAACCCCUAAAAAAAAAAAAAAAACAAGUAAAAACCCAACACACAGGUGAAAGUGAAACCCCUAUCUUCGCGUCUCUUCUCCACCAAACCUUGAUCUUGAUGAUGGCUUCCACUUGCAACCGUGUGAUCGGCAGAACCUUCCUCUCGUCCCUCAAAUCAACCGUUAAACCAAGGCUCCGCCCCUCUACGACGUCGUUUCGCUCUUCCUUUUCCUCAACCACACCAUCCACUCCUCGUUUCUCUCCUUUUACCAGCUGUAUGUAUUAUGAUUUGGGUAGGAAUUCGGUAUCAGAACUUGGUGGCGUUCAAUCUCUGAUGCCUCUACACAGCGCCAUGGCCGCAGCAAGGAUGACAUCCUGCCUGAGCUUGGACGGAAGUAGCCGAGCUCUCUCACAGGGUAUCCUCUGCUGCUCCUCUCCUGGACCCUAGCCUCUUUUUGUAUUGUUCUUGAUUAUGGAGUUGAUGAUACAUGAAUUGUUUUGCUUCAUACUGUCCAUGAAGAGCUUGGUCUAUCAGUCCCCAGGUGAGGAAGCCACCAGUUUGAAUGUUUAGCUACUCAUUCCUAGGUUUUGUAAUUCUUCCUAACCAGUAUCCUCCUUUAUGGAAAUUGUUUCUGGAGGCUCGUGAAGAACUAAAAUUGGUGUAGAUUGCUCUCAACUUGGAGUUGGAUAUUUUUUUACUCAAGGUAUAGGCGAUCAUCUUAUUUAUUACACAUCUUGUUGAAUAAGAGUAAACGGUUGCUCC
RNA transcript from Quercus robur (English oak), 757 nucleotides. It is a transcript of the gene named protein NONRESPONDING TO OXYLIPINS 2, mitochondrial-like, with no coding region annotated. Lineage: Eukaryota; Viridiplantae; Streptophyta; Magnoliopsida; Fagales; Fagaceae. The transcript is spliced from 4 exons. The record is from RefSeq and is a predicted model, not a curated record.